RNAcentral lists this long non-coding RNA (249 nucleotides) under Lathyrus oleraceus (garden pea). Its description in RNAcentral is "Pisum sativum (pea) long non-coding RNA (PSAT_LNC032577)". Lineage: Eukaryota; Viridiplantae; Streptophyta; Magnoliopsida; Fabales; Fabaceae. The record is from RNAcentral.
UUUCAUCUAAUCCAUGACCCUAUUGCACAUACAUACAUUCAUUGUUCCAUCAUCAUAAUCACAUUAACAUCCGUAACCAAAGGCAUAUUGCACGGACUCAAGGCAUGGUGUUUACACCUGAGAGAAAACUGAAGAUUUCCGGUUAAAGCUCUAGAGAAAAUACCAGCAAAUUAAGAAAAAAAAUAAAAAAUAAAAAAUUAAUUUUUGGUCAAGUUAAUGGAUGUAAGACCCCAAUUUUGACCCUAAGAC